CAACAAAAAUAUCUUAAUUUGUGUUCCAAAGAUUAACGAAGGUCUUACGGGUGUGGAAUGACAUGAGGGUGAGUAAUAAAUGACAGAAUUUUAUAUCAAGCAUAUGAGAGUUCCCUCAGUAACAUUAAAAAAAAUCAUACCGACCCCAAACUUUUGAAUGGUAGUAAAUAUUCAGUUACUGAAGGGAAAGUGUCACUCCAAAUAUUCAGAUUAAUAGUUUUUUUUCAUUCACCAAGUUUUAGCCUUUUAACCUUUGGUUCCCUCCAAAAUUUGGUCAUCAUCUUCUUCAUAAGCAUUUCAUAAGCAAAUCCAUCUUAUUUUUUGUGUGUUCCAGGUAAUGGAGAGAAGCCAUUAAAGUCAACAUGACAUGACAUUCGCAACCCAUUUUACUUUCAUAAUCUAACAUAUUUCCAGUUCAAACAGGAUAUGAGAGCAAAAAUGUACCAUUGAAUUUAUCCAUUGGAAAUCGAUUAGAUUUUGAUAAACGGGUGUUGCAUAACAAAAUGGAGGCGGUUGGAGGGGUCAGUGAAAAGUAAGAGGGAUUUAUGAUGUCAAGGAAAGUCAUUUUAGAGGGGAAGCAAGUAAUUACAUUUUGAUGAAAGAUUACAAAGACAUUUUUUGUUUCUUGGAAUAAAAUUCACCAUUGAGUUGUGCACAAGAAGACCAAGAAAAUAGGGGCAAUUUUGAUUUCAUGUUGACUUGAAGGAAAGGAAUAGCAGUCCGAGCCAUCAGAUUUCAACAAAAAUAUCUUAAUUUGUGUUCCGAAGAUUAACGAAGGUCUUACGGGUGUGGAACGCCAUGAGGGUGAGUAAUAAAUGACAGAAUUUUCAUUUUUGUGAACUAACCCUUUAAAGAGAAUGAUAAGGAGGUUUUGUCAUCCAUCAUCUUAAAUGAUCACUUUCAUUAUAUGCUCCUAUAGAAUGCAUUAGUGCCUGCCCCCUUUUUUAGCGCCGUUGGUUCUGUGAAACACAAUAGGAAAUGCAAGUGGAAUGUCCGAGCAGCUGUUUUCUAUACAGACAAUGAGCUUGGGGGAUUGUGAGAGGAACAGAAACGCUGUUUGCAAGGUCUGAGGGGGCAGGAGACAAACUGUGCCGUGAUGAAGGUUUGACAGGUGGAGGUCCUCUUAUUUCCCUUCAGAGUGAAAAGACUGUAUAUAUAUAUGUGCGUGUAUAUGUGUUUCUAUGUAUGAAGGGCACAUCGGGAGAGAAAGAAAGAGGCUCAGGGAAAUAUAAAAGAGAUAAAGAGGAAGGUUGUGACUUAUUGGACAGCCUGGUUCAAAAUAAAUGUGGAGGUCAUGCUGGAGAACAACGGCGAUGAUAAUUUUAGAGCCUUUGAACACAAAGACCACAUUCAUCUAGUGAACUAACUUGCUGUGGACACUGAAUGACUUGCCUGAGUUAGCAAACAGCGUUGCAUUACCGUGCACGUCCCCUUCUGGAUUGGAGUGUGG
Molecule: long non-coding RNA, 1450 nt
Organism: Megalobrama amblycephala (Wuchang bream)
Lineage: Eukaryota; Metazoa; Chordata; Actinopteri; Cypriniformes; Xenocyprididae
Exons: 4
Source: RefSeq, a predicted model, not a curated record